RNAcentral lists this ribosomal RNA (420 nucleotides) under uncultured eukaryote. RNAcentral's name for it is "SSU rRNA". It matches the Rfam family "Eukaryotic small subunit ribosomal RNA", at positions 592 to 1017 of the family's 1831-position model. The record is from RNAcentral.
CAAUAGCGUAUAUUUAAGUUGUUGCAGUUAAAAGCUCGUAGUUGGAUUUCGAAUGUGAACGACCGGUCCGCCGUUGCGGUGUGCACUGGACGUUUGCAUAUUGUUGGCGGGGACGCGCUCAUGACCUUAACUGGGAGGGACGCGGAGUCGGCGCUGUUACUUUGAAAAAUUAGAGUGUUCAAAGCAGGCAACCGAUAUGAAUACAUUAGCAUGGAAUAACGCUAUAGGACUCUGGACAUAUUGUGUUGGUCUUCGGGACCGGAGUAAUGAUUAAGAGGGACAGUUGGGGGCGAUUCGUAUUUCAUUGUCAGAGGUGAAAUUCUUGGAUUUAUGAAAGACAAACUUCUGCGAAAGCAUUUGCCAAGGAUGUUUUCAUUCAUCAAGAACGAAAGUUGGGGGCUCGAAGAUGAUCAGAUACCA